Molecule: long non-coding RNA, 1405 nt
Filed under: Marmota monax (woodchuck)
Lineage: Eukaryota; Metazoa; Chordata; Mammalia; Rodentia; Sciuridae
Source: RNAcentral
GCCAUUCUCUGGAAAGACAAGUUUCAGGAGUAAUUUAACAGCAUCACAACAUUCAGAAGAACAGAGAUACAUGAGGCAAACCAGGUUUUUGUUUUGUUUUUCUCCUUCAUGAAGCAGAAAUGUCAUAAAUUUAAUGUCCCUAUUUGUCAGUAUAAAGGACACCCGAGACUUUAUAUUCACUGUGGUUUUGAAGCAGUGAAAUAGUUGGAAAUAGUCACUCAGUACCCUUUUUAAAACCAUUCCAGCCCCUUCCAUAAGAAGGAGAGGAAAGAAAAUCUUAACCUAGAAAAAAAGAAAACACCAACUAUCUUGCUGUUUCUUUUGGCAUUUAAGAUAAACUCUCACAGCAUGUUUUAAUAUGCAAACUGGCCAAAAAAUGCACAUGAUUGAGCUUUAAUAUGUUAUGACCAUAAACAGUGCCUUUAAAAAAUCCACUUCCUUCCCACUAUGUUAAACUCACUAGCAGUUGGAUGGAAUUACAUGUGGUCUCCAUAGCCAGCGCCAUGGCAGCCGUACAUUUGAUUCUACUAUCUGGAAAUUCUGCACGGUCAUAAAUGACAAUAUCACAUUCUCCAUUCCUCAGGGUAAAAUGACAAUGUCCACCUUGUAAAUAGCCCCAGUCAGUCUCAAUAGGACAGUAGUAGCCUUGAGAUAAGGAAAGCAUAAGAUAUUUAAGAUUAUUUAUGUAGAUUUUCAUAACUACUCCAGAAAAAAAGGCAGUAUCAGAUCUUGCUCAAUAAUCUACUUCCAACUUUACCAUCUAACAUUGUCAGUCAAUUAUUACUGCAUGCUUUCUGGGUGCACAGUAGCCCUAAGUACCACUGGGAGCAAAGAGAAGAAUAAGUCAAUAUUCUAAGUCAUUUCUUGACAGUAGUUAAUAGAUGACUAGACUACUGUAGCAACCCAUUGUGAGAGGUUAGUUUGUAGCAUAGCAGGAUUGGGGAUGGGAGUCGUUCCCGCUGCACAAUAUGUGACUUUAAUCAGCUUGCUCUCCUCAAACCUAGUUGAGGUACACUGUGCUGGUAAGAAAGGAUUAUUAGAAUCUCCUCGGAACACCCGAGCCCACCUGUUCAUCCAGGUAGACAUUGUACAUCCCUGUAAAGUCAAAUGAGCAGCGUUGAGCUUUUGGAAGAGCCAAUGACAAACUUGCUGAUGUCCUGCGUGACACGUAUAUGUAAUGUACAUAUAUUACCACUAACUCAAUUCAGGCCUUGUAUCUGGGUAAAAUGAGGGAGUCGGUCAAAACUAACCAUGGUGUUGCUGGGGGCUGGAGACUUUGUCUUUAGGUGACAGCAUCAUGUUCUGGAUACCCAUGGCAUCACCCUGUGAUGUCCAUGGGAGCUCUUAACAAGUAGGCUCAGCACUAUCAUGAGAAAUAAGAACCUGGGCAAACUGCUCACGUGCU